GCAUCGAUGAAGAACGCAGCGAAACGCGAAAUGUCUUGCGAAUUGCAGAAUCCGUGAAUCAUCGAAUCUUUGAACGCAUCUUGCACCUGAUGGUAAUCCGUCAGGUACGUCUGGGUGGGUGUUGUCAACAAAACUACUGUCAUUGACAGUUCAGUUGACGAGUGCGGCGACGACUCGCCGCCUCGUUGAAAUGACGAUCAGACAACCUCAACACGCCUUGUGUGCAGGCACACGCCAACCGACAAGAUGGAAGCAUCGGCUGUCGACGGCGCGUGCGUGCAGCCGCGAGGCAGUUCUACAGCCCCACCUCAGACGAGACUACCCGCUGAACUUAAGCAUAUCAAUAAGCGGAGGA
Molecule: ribosomal RNA, 355 nt
Filed under: uncultured fungus
Lineage: Eukaryota; Fungi
Description: eukaryotic LSU rRNA
Rfam family: 5.8S ribosomal RNA (bases 1-124)
Source: RNAcentral